RNAcentral lists this long non-coding RNA (215 nucleotides) under Lathyrus oleraceus (garden pea). Its description in RNAcentral is "Pisum sativum (pea) long non-coding RNA (PSAT_LNC034948)". The record is from RNAcentral. Lineage: Eukaryota; Viridiplantae; Streptophyta; Magnoliopsida; Fabales; Fabaceae.
UAUGCAUUCCUCUGCGCAUCAGUUGGAUUCAUCAUUAAAUCCUCAUAGCCAUUCUGCACAAUUUCACUCACUUCUUGUGCUCCAAAUAGAGAUUUCAUCAGCGCACGCCAUCAAUCCCAUUUCUUGCCAUCAAGAACCAGAAUAUUUGAUCCAAAAACAUUCUUAUUCAUCUUGCCUAUCAAGAAUCUAUCACUCAGUGUUUCCCUUGAUUGUUC